ACUCAAAUGAAUUGACGGGGGCCCGCACAAGCGGUGGAGUAUGUGGUUUAAUUCGAUGCAACGCGAAGAACCUUACCAGGGCUUGACAUCCCGGGAACCUUGCUGAAAGGCAGGGGUGCCCUUCGGGGAGCCCGGAGACAGGUGGUGCAUGGCUGUCGUCAGCUCGUGUCGUGAGAUGUUGGAUUAAGUUCCGCAACGAGCGCAACCCUCGUUGCCUGUUGCCAGCACGUUAUGGUGGGCACUCAGGCGAGACUGCCGCAGCAAUGUGGAGGAAGGUGGGGAUGACGUCAAGUCAGCAUGCCCCGUACGCCCUGGGCUACACACAUACUACAAUGCGAGGAGCAAACAGUUGCGAAGCCGCGAGGUGGAGCUAAUCUGAGAAUGCCUCGCUCAGUGCAGAUUGCAGGCUGCAACUCGCCUGCAUGAAGGCGGAAUCGCUAGUAACCGUCGGUCAGCAUUACGACGGUGAAUACGUUCCCGGGCCUUGCACACACCGCCCGU
RNAcentral lists this ribosomal RNA (501 nucleotides) under uncultured bacterium. RNAcentral's name for it is "partial 16S ribosomal RNA". It matches the Rfam family "Bacterial small subunit ribosomal RNA", at positions 899 to 1397 of the family's 1533-position model. The record is from RNAcentral.